Molecule: long non-coding RNA, 558 nt
Filed under: Androctonus crassicauda
Lineage: Eukaryota; Metazoa; Arthropoda; Arachnida; Scorpiones; Buthidae
Source: RNAcentral
AAAUCACAAAUCUAAACAAUGAAGAAUACAAAAUUGCAUUGAAAAUGUUUUAGAAUAUUUGAAUUUUCAAUUGAUGCUUACUUACAUUCACAUAUUCAAGUUGUUCUGUUGACAAACAUUUGGAAAAAUUGAUUUUUGCUAUAAAAUUAACUUUUUUUAAUAGUUCAAAAUUCAAGAUAUUGCUUUUAUUUACUUAUUAGUAUAUAAUCAUGUCUAUAACAAAGAUAGAUGAGUCAUAUCUCAUGAUGCAGAUAUUUAUGGCAGUAUGAGACAUUGUUUUUGAAUCUGUUGAUUACUAAGUGAGGCCCUGGCAUCAAAGCAUGGUACUAUUAGAUACUAUUCAGAAUGGUAAUCAACAGCAUGGAAUCACACCAGAUACUUUUGAAGGAAUGGGACCUGGAUUUGUAUCCAGGCUUAUUGGAUGGAAGCCAUUGUGUUUAAAGAUAAUCCAGCAACAACACCACAUACACAAAAAAAUCCAGUUAAGAUAUCCAAUGAAAUUUAAGCUGUCAUAUUGGAUCUGCCAUUUUGAAUUUGAAAACUAUAAUCACAUAGCCA